UUUUUUUUUUUUUAAAAAAGUUAAAUAAAUGAUGAGAAAAAAUAAAAAUAGUUAAAUAAAAUAUUAGUAAAAAUUUAUAGAAAUUUUUAGUAUAAUAAAAAAAAAAUAAAAAAUUUAUAGAUAAAUAAGUAUUGAAAAAAAAAUAUGAAAAAAUAAAUUUUUAAAAUAAGUAAAGUAAUAUUUAUUGUGUAUCUUGUGUAUCAGAGUUUAUUAAAAAAAAAUUAUUUUAAAAUAAAAAUUUAGAAUUUAAAAGAGUUAAAUUUUUAUAAUAGUUAUUGUUAUAAAAAUAUUAUAAAUAAAAAUUUAGAAAUUAAAUGUUAUUCGGGUUUAAAUUUAUCUAAUUUUUAAAGAAAUAAAUUAAAAUUAAUUUUUAAUUAAAAUAAAAUAUUGAUAAGAUUUUUGUUAAAAUUUAAUAUUUUAUAAAAUUGUGAAAAUUAAAAGGAAAAUUAUUUAGGGAUAAUCUUAAUUAAUUUUUAUUAAAAGAUAAAAAAUUGAAUUUUAAAAAUUAUAAGAAUAGAAUUAUUUAUUUAAAUUUAAUUUUUUAUAAAAAAUUUUAAAUUGAUAAAAUUUUAAUUUGUAAAAAUUUAAUGUAAAAAUUUAUUUAAAUAAUUUUUAAAAUUUUUAAAAAAUGGAAAUUAUAAUAAAAUUAGUAUAAUGAUUUAUAUAUAUAAAAAUAGUAAAAUAAUUUUUAAAUAAAUAAAAUUUAUGAAUUCGACAAAAUUUAAGUUCGCUUGUUUAAUAAAAACAUGUCUUUUUGAAAGUUAUUAAAAGGUUUAAUCUGCCCACUGAUAUGAAUUAAAGGGCCGCAAUAUAAUUGUGCAAAGGUAGCAUAAUCAUUAGUUUUUUGAUUGAAAACUGGUAUGAAUGAUUGGACGAAAUUUAUAUUUUAUUAAAUUUAAAAAAUUAAAAUUUAAUUUUUUAGUUAAAAAGCUAAAAUAAAUUUAAAAGACGAGAAGACCCUAUAGAUUUUUAUAUUAUUAUAAGUAAGUUAUAUAUAUGAAAAAUAAGUUUGAUUUAUUUAUAGGCUAUUAAUAGUUUAAUAAAUAAGUGUAAAAUGUAUAUUGUAUUUAAAAUUAAUAUUUUAUUGGGGUGAUAUAAAAAUUUGAUUAACUUUUUAAAUUUAAAAAAAAUCAAAGAUGGUUGUAGGUAAAGGAAAUAUAUAAAAUCAAAAAAUUAAAAAAAUCUAAAUUCUUAAAAUUAGAUUAAAAUACCUUAGGGAUAACAGCGUAAUUUUAGUUUUAAGUUCAUAUUGAAAUUAAAGAUUGCGACCUCGAUGUUGAAUUAAAAUUUAUAUUAAAUGCAAAAGUUUAAAUAUUGGGUCUGUUCGACCUUUAAAAUUUUACAUGAUUUGAGUUUAAACCGGUGUGAGCCAGGUUGGUUUCUAUCUUUAAGAAAGAAGAAUGAUUUAGUACGAAAGGAAUAGUUAUUUAAUAUAAUUAAUUUUUUAAAAGAUUAUUAAUAAUAAGUUAAUUUGAUAAAAAA
This 1482-nucleotide ribosomal RNA is filed under the name Marilia sp. XG-2021. RNAcentral's name for it is "16S ribosomal RNA". Lineage: Eukaryota; Metazoa; Arthropoda; Insecta; Trichoptera; Odontoceridae. The record is from RNAcentral.